GAAAGAAGAAUAAAGACAACGGCUCCUCCGGAGUCUCCCCCCUGAAGCCGGGCCCUCAUUGCUGUCCCCACCACACUCUCCCCCUGACAACUUCCCCCCCAUAUAUAUUGUUAAAAUCGGUACCGGCCGUCACCGGGCUGCUAUGCAGUAUCUAUGUUUCUAUAUAUAACUGAUGUUAUUAUAUUGUGAUAAUUUAAUAAAGCUCCAUUCGUGCGCGUCACUAUUAGAACGACGAAAGCCGGCGCUCUUCGGAGUGUCCUGCAAAUACCGAAUCUAGCCAAAUGCCUCGUCAUCUAAUUAGUGACGCGUAUGAAUGGAUCAACAAGAUUCCUUCUGUCCCUAUCUACUAUCUAGCGAAACCACAGCCAAGGGAACGGGCUUGGCAAAAUCAGCGGGGAAAGAAGACCCUGUUGAGCUUGACUCUAGUCUGACUCUGUGAA
RNAcentral lists this non-coding RNA (440 nucleotides) under Trichinella britovi. RNAcentral's name for it is "Eukaryotic large subunit ribosomal RNA". It matches the Rfam family "Eukaryotic large subunit ribosomal RNA", at positions 2227 to 2445 of the family's 3401-position model. Lineage: Eukaryota; Metazoa; Nematoda; Enoplea; Trichinellida; Trichinellidae. The record is from Rfam by way of RNAcentral.